Molecule: ribosomal RNA, 591 nt
Filed under: Pichia manshurica
Lineage: Eukaryota; Fungi; Ascomycota; Pichiomycetes; Pichiales; Pichiaceae
Description: eukaryotic LSU rRNA
Rfam family: Eukaryotic large subunit ribosomal RNA
Source: RNAcentral
GCAUAUCAAUAAGCGGAGGAAAAGAAACCAACAGGGAUUGCCCCAGUAGCGGCGAGUGAAGCGGCAAGAGCUCAGAUUUGAAAUCGUGUUUCGGCACGAGUUGUAGAGUGUAGGCGGGAGUCUCUGUGGAGCGCGGUGUCCAAGUCCCUUGGAACAGGAUGCCUGAGAGGGUGAGAGCCCCGUAGGGUGCUGCGCGAAGCUUUUGAGGCCCUGCUGACGAGUCGAGUUGUUUGGGAAUGCAGCUCCAAGCGGGUGGUAAAUUCCAUCUAAGGCUAAAUAUUGGCGAGAGACCGAUAGCGAACAAGUACUGUGAAGGAAAGAUGAAAAGCACUUUGAAAAGAGAGUGAAACAGCACGUGAAAUUGUUGAAAGGGAAGGGUAUUGGGCUCGACAUGGGGGGUGCGCACCGCUGUCUCUUGUAGGCGGCGCUCUGGGCGCCCUCUGGGCCAGCAUCGGUUCCUGCUGCGGGAGAAGGGGCUCCGGAAAGUGGCUCUUCGGAGUGUUAUAGCCGGGGCCAGAUGCCGCGUGUGGGGACCGAGGACUGCGGCUUCUGUCUCGGAUGCUGGCAUAACGGCGCAAUACCGCCCGUCUU